This 93-nucleotide unclassified non-coding RNA is filed under the name Candidatus Desulfosporosinus infrequens. Lineage: Bacteria; Bacillati; Bacillota; Clostridia; Eubacteriales; Desulfitobacteriaceae. The record is from RNAcentral.
UCUGGUGAUCAUGCCGGAGGGGUUCCACCCGUUCCCAUACCGAACACGGAAGCUUGGGGCGCAAGCCCCUGGCAAAGCAGGUCAUCGCCAGGU